UAGGGAAUCUUCCGCAAUGGACGCAAGUCUGACGGAGCAACGCCGCGUGAGUGAAGAAGGAUUUCGGUUCGUAAAACUCUGUUGUUAGAGAAGAACAGCGCAUAGAGUAACUGUUAUGCGUGUGACGGUAUCUAACCAGAAAGCCACGGCUAACUACGUGCCAGCAGCCGCGGUAAUACGUAGGUGGCAAGCGUUGUCCGGAUUUAUUGGGCGUAAAGCGAGCGCAGGCGGUCAAUUAAGUCUGAUGUGAAAGCCCCCGGCUCAACCGGGGAGGGUCAUUGGAAACUGGUUGACUUGAGUGCAGAAGAGGAGAGUGGAAUUCAAUGUGUAGCGGUGAAAUGCGUAGAUAUAUGGAGGAACACCAGUGGCGAAGGCGACUCUCUGGUCUGUAACUGACGCUGAGGCUAGAAAGCGUGGGUAGCAAACAGG
This 429-nucleotide ribosomal RNA is filed under the name Bacteroidota bacterium. RNAcentral describes it as "Bacteroidetes bacterium partial 16S ribosomal RNA". It matches the Rfam family "Bacterial small subunit ribosomal RNA", at positions 355 to 776 of the family's 1533-position model. Lineage: Bacteria; Pseudomonadati; Bacteroidota. The record is from RNAcentral.